Non-coding RNA from Vigna umbellata (rice bean), 1393 nucleotides. The record is from RefSeq and is a predicted model, not a curated record. Lineage: Eukaryota; Viridiplantae; Streptophyta; Magnoliopsida; Fabales; Fabaceae.
AUAGUACAAUUAAUCGAUAAUUCACUACAAUUAAGUUAAUUUUGUCCACCCCUAUUGUAAACCAUAGCAAAAAAUAAAAAUUGUUGUUUUUCCAACCAUUGAUCCAUGAGAUUGCAAACGCACUCCAACUUCCACUCAUGCCUUUCUUUUGUUGUCUAGGCUGUACAAAUGGUCCUAUAUUGGGAAAUAUCAUCUCCAAUGUGUUGUUCCUUUUGAAGCUUUAUUUCUAUAGUUCUUGGGACGGUUCUGAACUGUUGAAGAAGUGGAAAGAAGGUGAAAGUUGCCAAAAUUGUUAGAAUGGUCCCAGUGAAUGGGCUGCCACAUGGGAGCUGGCAUGGCAAUUAGAAUAGUAGUGUCCCUGGGAAGUGGACCAUGGGAUCAGCUAUUUGGUGGAGGAAACUCCCCAGCCUUUGCAGUAGGAGCUGUUUCAACCAUUAUCAGUGGACUCAUAGCUAUCUUGGCUAUUCCUCGAUCUGGUGCUCAAAAGGCUCGAAGUCAUGCGUGAGGUAUCAUGUUCAUGUUAAAGCAUUUAUUUCUUUCGAAGGAGGAGGGUGAAAAUGAACAGGUAGCAAGAAUUUGUACAUAGUUAUUUUUUAUUGUAUCCUUUUUCCCGAGCAAAGAUUUCACUCUCAAUUGUCCUCUAAUAAAAUAAAUGUAUGUUUGUUGUAUUGUACUUUAAUAUUAUUGGUCAUUAUUUGAAGCAAAAUGACCUGUUUUCUGAGUGUUAUUAUUUUCUGAAGCAAAGAAAGCUCUAGGAACAAUUUUUGUGUGUGAUCCUGAUGAGCCAGUUGUCUGUUUAAAACAGUGAGGUUGGUUGGCUAUGUAAAUCAUGAGACAUGACAAGCUGUAGAAAAGGGUGAAUGAAUACUCUUGAUGUCAAAGGAACGAUCUAAAACAGAAAAUUUAUAUAUCAUUACCUUUCCCAUCAUCUUGGAAUCUCAUGUAAAUAUGAUAUCAUAAAAGCUGUCACCAAAUUCUGGUUGAAAUAUUGUGCAAUCAGUGGAGACCUUCCUCAUUGUAAAUUAGUUCUUCUCGUGCAAGAUGUUCCUUUCGUGGCUAAUUGCAAAGUAGUUAUGGCAUCUUCCAUGGGUUCUAAAGUUCAUCUCAGGCAACAUUCUUUCCCACCAACACGAGUUGCUGCUGAUUUGGAAUUAUUCGAGAUGAAAUAUUGGUUUUUUUAAAGGCAAUUCUGGUUGUGUAUUAGUGCUGCUAUAUUGAAGUGUUGGAAUCUUCUACAUUUGUGUGACUUGUUUGUAUUAGUGGGAUGAACGUGUUUAGUGGCCAACACUGAGUAUGUGAAUUUUUCUGAUGGAAAACCUUGAUGGAGACAUGCCUAUAAUGCUCCUUAUUUUGGUAUAAGUAUUUUUCUUUCAAAAAGAACAAAAUUCUUCAA